AAGUCGUAACAAGGUUUCCGUAGGUGAACCUGCGGAGGGAUCAUUACCACGUUUCCAACGUAUCAAACAAACCGCGAACUUGUAAAACAAUUACCCAUCAUUGAACACGGGACUAAGUUGAUAGAUAAUAGCGCCUUGGUGGGUCACUAGGAAACUAGUGACGUGCGCUUCUUAGUCUGUCCAGUAGUAGUUUACUAUUAUUGGAGGUGAUUCCGUGUGGGCUUGCUAAAUUCCCCACCAUAUUUUUAUCUUAACGAUACCACCCUUUACUAAUUGACUAACCCCUUGACAUGUGUCCCUUAAUAAGGAUAUACUGUUGAAUCGUAGUUUAUCGAAACUAAGUACAACUCUUAGCAACGGAUAUCUCGGUUCUC
This 374-nucleotide unclassified non-coding RNA is filed under the name fungal sp. RNAcentral describes it as "partial internal transcribed spacer region". The stretch from base 1 to 46 matches the Rfam family "Eukaryotic small subunit ribosomal RNA", at positions 1786 to 1831 of the family's 1831-position model. The record is from RNAcentral. Lineage: Eukaryota; Fungi.